Molecule: ribosomal RNA, 551 nt
Filed under: uncultured bacterium
Lineage: Bacteria
Description: bacterial SSU rRNA
Rfam family: Bacterial small subunit ribosomal RNA
Source: RNAcentral
UAGGGAAUCUUUCGGCAAUGGGGGCAACCCUGACCGAGCAACGCCGCGUGAGUGAAGAAGGUUUUCGGAUCGUAAAGCUCUGUUGUAAGAGAAGAACGAGUGUGAGAGUGGAAAGUUCACACUGUGACGGUAACUUACCAGAAAGGGACGGCUAACUACGUGCCAGCAGCCGCGGUAAUACGUAGGUCCCGAGCGUUAUCCGGAUUUAUUGGGCGUAAAGCGAGCGCAGGCGGUUAGAUAAGUCUGAAGUUAAAGGCUGUGGCUUAACCAUAGUACGCUUUGGAAACUGUUUAACUUGAGUGCAGAAGGGGAGAGUGGAAUUCCAUGUGUAGCGGUGAAAUGCGUAGAUAUAUGGAGGAACACCGGUGGCGAAAGCGGCUCUCUGGUCUGUAACUGACGCUGAGGCUCGAAAGCGUGGGGAGCAAACAGGAUUAGAUACCCUGGUAGUCCACGCCGUAAACGAUGAGUGCUAGGUGUUGGGUCCUUUCCGGGACUCAGUGCCGCAGCUAACGCAUUAAGCACUCCGCCUGGGGAGUACNACNGCAAGGUUG